This 1237-nucleotide long non-coding RNA is filed under the name Gadus morhua (Atlantic cod). RNAcentral's name for it is "lncRNA (ENSGMOG00000030783.1)". Lineage: Eukaryota; Metazoa; Chordata; Actinopteri; Gadiformes; Gadidae. The record is from RNAcentral.
CACGCUGGGGUCGGGGAAUGGAUCGUAAAACAAGAGUUUGAGUAGAGAAGUAGAUGGACAGAAAGACAUAAUACUAUUUAUAUAUUAUAUAUUUGGCUAGAAGGUGUUUUCUUGGUGGUGAAGGGACCUCUCCCUUGUAUGGUUUGCCAAAGGCAGAGCCUUCACGUAGCCGUUGGCUAGAUUUCAUUUUUAACCCUAUUCCACCGACUUUACCGAGCCUUUUUCUGUGUCGCCUCCACUUCACGGAUGGCUGCUUCAGCAACCUGCGUGAAGAUGACUCUCAACAUGUAAGUAAACCUAUAAUAACAAAAGUGGCUGUGUUGUGUGUAAUAUAAGUUCGGGUAAUUAACCCUACCAUUUCCUACCAUUAAAAUAAUUCAUUCUGUAGCUAGCUGCUAGUCUUGUUGCGAGGCUGGUUAAUCUUCCACAAACCUUUUGCGGGAUCUCAAACUACAAUUCUAAACUGUCUGUAAAAUGAGAGCUAGCCUUAGCCUUAUGUGAGGUGUUACUAUAAGGUGGGUUAAAUGGUCACAGUUCCUGUUUCAGAUGUUGUUAGCUUGUACUGUGUAAAAUCAUUUUUCGUCGUGAUUUAUGUGUGAUAAUUUUAGCAGGACUGCAGUGCCCAUAAUCGCCCCUUUCAACACGUCGGAUGCCAGACUGACACGCCUCAGAUUAUAUCGACGGGAACCCAAACAAACUCGCCGGUGGGAAUGCAUUCUGUGGGAAUACAAAGUGCACGGUUGAAGUCGACGUUAGGCGGCACACAGUUGUCCAUGGGAUCGCUAAAGGCACACGUAAGAAGCAAAGCCAUGCAGACACAGGUCUCUCCUGUCAGUGCAGACUUCGGAACAACCUCUCUUUUGCCACACUCACUGCUGACUUCAACACCAAUAAAGGGCCCAGGCUGGUGACCUAGCAAGAAACCACGGCUUGAGUUGGAGGAAGAGGAGGAGAGUGACUCCUCAAUGUUGUGCAGGUAAUAAUUUACACCAUCUCGUAAUUGUGAAAGCCAUUGAUUGGAAUGAUUGUCAGGCACACUCUGUUGUUUAAUGGCGGUGCUUUUUUUUUUUUUACCAUAAGUUGUAUCUAGCAUCAAUGCACCACAAUGAAAAUGCAUCACAGGAGCAAGCUACGACUUCUGCAGGGCAGGCGAAGAGUGGGGAAGGUGUUGUGAAGGCCGUGAAAACAGAUCCAACAUUCAGUAAGUUUGUCAAAUAUAAUCUUUAAACACACACGC